Non-coding RNA from Vicia faba (fava bean), 336 nucleotides. The record is from the annotation of a GenBank genome assembly. Lineage: Eukaryota; Viridiplantae; Streptophyta; Magnoliopsida; Fabales; Fabaceae.
AUGAAAAUUUCAAGUACAAAACAUCGUCAUAUUCGCGUGCCUCCUGACCUACUUUCGUACACAACUUCCCUCCUUCACUCAUUCUCAUUGUUUUCAAUUCUUAGACGUAUUCCCCUUUGCACCGCCGUGCCUUCGUCUCCGGCAGUAGCAUGGUGUGACACAAGGAAACAACGCCACCAAUCCCUCUAUGAUCAACCCAUAUCUCCAAAUUCCACCUUCGUUUUCUUUGAUUCUAAACCAAACUUUUCAAUUUGCCAAAGUAUAAACCCUAGAUCUAUGGAAAACCAAAAUUUCAACUUCAUGGAGCAGUAUCCGGCAACGCAAUAUCGAGGUUGA